Long non-coding RNA from Carya illinoinensis, 1797 nucleotides. RefSeq lists it as uncharacterized. The record is from RefSeq and is a predicted model, not a curated record. The transcript is spliced from 2 exons. NCBI's taxonomy places the organism in Eukaryota, Viridiplantae, Streptophyta, Magnoliopsida, Fagales, Juglandaceae.
UUAUGCUUAAUUUUAUAACUAUGAUUUAAUGGGACAAUAUUUCCUCACAUAUAUAGUUUAUUUGUGAUAAUAUAUUUUUUCUUUUAAUUUAUUUUUUUGAGUGUUAUUUUUAUUUUCAGUUCAAAUAAAUCCAAUUGGAACUGUUGACGAUGAAGAAGAGUACCCUUGCUUCUGUUCUACGUGGUGGAGAUGGUGAUGAUCAGCCAAAUCAAGAGAACGAAAUUUUGAUGAUGAAGAUGAACUGAUUUUGAGAUAGAGCUUGAUGUAAUGGGAAUAAAACCCAAAAGGAGAACAUGGGAGCUGGACGUGAAUUAAAAGCACUCACACAUCAGCAGGAACAACAUCAUUCACAUACGGCUGGAGCACUCAUGCUAUUUUUCGUGAGGUGGGUUCUUGGCUGGCAGACUUCACGGAUGGCACAGGAGAAGAAAGGAAUCCUUUUUCGUUUGAGUGGAAAGAGGGCUACGACUUUUUCGUUUAGUCAAGCUACUUUUCGUUCAUUUGAGGAAGAGAUACGGAUUGAGAGAAUUGGAGAGAGGAGUACAGAAUUUUCAACUACACGAAAUGAAGGAAAAUAAGCAAGAAGAAGAGUCAACAUUUUCGGAAAGCAAGGGGCUGGAAUUGGAAUUAGCUGAAGGGGUAGGCAGCAGCAGAAUUGGUGGGAGUUGAGAGAGGGAGAGACGUGUGAAGAAAAGUCAUGAGCAAACAAAAAGAAAUAAAAAGCAAAAGCCGGAAAGAAUAGGCGUGAGAGUGGGUGAGCAUGGAAUUUUAAAGUAAUCCGGUGAGGUUACGUAUGUUACAUGAGUAGAGAGGGUAGGAAAGGAGAAAAAGUGAGUAGGGAAUGAGUGUGUUAGCUGAAGUUAGCUGAACGUGGGCCCUCUCAUUAAAGAAAAGAAGUGAGAUGUUGGUUGAUAGGGGAUGCAGCCGAGAUUGAAGAAGUGAUAAGUGGGGUCAGUUUGGUAGAGUGGAGAACGAUUGGUUUAACUUGAAGAAAGGAAAGGGCAUUCUUCUGGACUGGAUAGCUGGCAAGAGGGAACGGACGAGCAGCAAAGCAGGGGUAGGCAGCAGCAGAAUUUGGAGGGGGAGUCAUUCUUCUUUUUCGGCUUGGACUGGAAAGCUGCUGCAGCAAGAAAGAAAAUCACAAUGCAACCACAUUACACAUGCAAUGAACACAGCAACACACGGCUAUAAAAGGAAAGAAAGCUGAAAUGAAGAGGAGUCGAUUUUCGGGAGCAGUAGCUUAGUUUAAAGUUUCUUUUCUUUUUGUUGAAACGAUGGAAGUUGUUUCCAGGGGGAGUUUUUAGUUUUAUGUUUUCGAGUAGCAGGAGUGGGGGUAGGAGCUUGAAGUACUCUCUCGGGCAGUAGCUUAGUGGGGCCUUUCUUAUUUUGUUUUGGUUGGGACUUCCACUUGAGCUGGAGUGAGACCAGCUGGGGGGAUUCGGACAGUAGCUUAGUUUAGUUUUGUUUUUGUUAUACUUUUCAUUUCGGACUUAGGAGUUUUAGGGGAGUUGAACUUGUUGUUUUUCAUUUAUUCUCAUUCGGGACAGCAGGAGGAAGUUUGUUUAUUUUCUGUUUGCUUUGUAUUCUCAUUCGGACAGCAGUUGUUUACUUGUUCAGUUGUUUUAUUUUCUGUUGUUUACUUGUUUGUUUGGCUGUAAUUGUUUUAGGAGUUCAGUUGCUUUAUUUUUCUGUUUAGAAGCAAUGGCACGGCAGUUUUCAUUUAUUGUAUUGUUUUCUUGUUUUAUUUUCUGUUUAGAAGCUAGUAGCAGCAUCACGUAAAGUUUUAGUUUUUGUUUA